Molecule: ribosomal RNA, 442 nt
Filed under: uncultured bacterium
Lineage: Bacteria
Description: partial 16S ribosomal RNA
Rfam family: Bacterial small subunit ribosomal RNA
Source: RNAcentral
CCUACGGGAGGCAGCAGUGGGGAAUAUUGGGCAAUGGGCGCAAGCCUGACCCAGCAACGCCGCGUGAAGGAAGAAGGCAUUCGGGUUGUAAACUUCUUUUGUCAGGGAAGAGGAGAAGACGGUACCUGACGAAUAAGCCACGGCUAACUACGUGCCAGCAGCCGCGGUAAUACGGAGGUGGCAAGCGUUGUCCGGAUUUACUGGGGGGACAGGGCGGGUAGCCGGGUUGACAAGUCAGUGGUGAAAUCCUGCGGCUUAACCGCAGAACUGCAUUUGAAACUGUUGAUCUUGAGUACCGGAGAGGCAGGUGGAAUGCCUAGUGGAGCGGGGAAAUGCGGAGAUAUUAGGAGGAACACCAGUGGCGAAGGCGGUCUGCUGGACAGCAACUGACGGUGAGGCGCGAAAGCGUGGGGAGCAAACAGGAUUAGAUACCCCAGUAGUC